This 564-nucleotide long non-coding RNA is filed under the name Homo sapiens (human). Its description in RNAcentral is "long intergenic non-protein coding RNA 1411". Lineage: Eukaryota; Metazoa; Chordata; Mammalia; Primates; Hominidae. The record is from RNAcentral.
AAACCCAGCUUCUCUACAGCACCAGGAAGAAGGCAAGCUGGGCCACCAGGGCGCGGCCCCAGGAAGGAAAAUCCUCCAUGGUCCUGUUGACAGAUGUGGUAUCAAAUGAAUUGUUCUCUGCUUAGACACGACUUUGAUAUUUAUUGGUUCAAAUUGCUCGGCUGACUCAGUCUUGCUGAGCCCUGAAGCAUGGCAUUGAGAAGCUGCCUAAGAAGGAGGCAGAUCCAUCAGCCUGGGUGCCCGACUGAUUACCCUGAGCAGAGCUCCCCAGCCCACCUGUGAUGGACGCAUGGAGCUUGAGCAAGGAAUAAAUAUUCGUUGCUUCCUGAGAACCCCACUGCGGAUGAGAACAAACGUUUGUUCGGCUGACCCUUUCUCAGAUCCCGCCCACUGAGAAGUGACAGUCCCUCCUCUCCCCGCCUCUCCCUGACCCCCAGCUCUCCGCGGCGGGAUCUGAGCCCUCUCCUGCUGGACUUGUGGUACUUGCUGAACAAUCUCGUGUUGUUGUCUGCCCGCUGGGAGAGAACACUGAUAAGAGAGGCGAUUAGGUGACUAAAUCUGCUG